This 833-nucleotide ribosomal RNA is filed under the name Acinetobacter sp. LZXC8. Its description in RNAcentral is "bacterial SSU rRNA". It matches the Rfam family "Bacterial small subunit ribosomal RNA", at positions 357 to 1184 of the family's 1533-position model. Lineage: Bacteria; Pseudomonadati; Pseudomonadota; Gammaproteobacteria; Moraxellales; Moraxellaceae. The record is from RNAcentral.
UGGGGGUUUGGGCUGGGGGGGACCCUGAUCCAGCCAUGCCGCGUGUGUGAAGAAGGCCUUAUGGUUGUAAAGCACUUUAAGCGAGGAGGAGGCUACUAGUAUUAAUACUACUGGAUAGUGGACGUUACUCGCAGAAUAAGCACCGGCUAACUCUGUGCCAGCAGCCGCGGUAAUACAGAGGGUGCGAGCGUUAAUCGGAUUUACUGGGCGUAAAGCGUGCGUAGGCGGCCAUUUAAGUCAAAUGUGAAAUCCCCGAGCUUAACUUGGGAAUUGCAUUCGAUACUGGAUGGCUAGAGUAUGGGAGAGGAUGGUAGAAUUCCAGGUGUAGCGGUGAAAUGCGUAGAGAUCUGGAGGAAUACCGAUGGCGAAGGCAGCCAUCUGGCCUAAUACUGACGCUGAGGUACGAAAGCAUGGGGAGCAAACAGGAUUAGAUACCCUGGUAGUCCAUGCCGUAAACGAUGUCUACUAGCCGUUGGGGCCUUUGAGGCUUUAGUGGCGCAGCUAACGCGAUAAGUAGACCGCCUGGGGAGUACGGUCGCAAGACUAAAACUCAAAUGAAUUGACGGGGGCCCGCACAAGCGGUGGAGCAUGUGGUUUAAUUCGAUGCAACGCGAAGAACCUUACCUGGCCUUGACAUACUAGAAACUUUCCAGAGAUGGAUUGGUGCCUUCGGGAAUCUAGAUACAGGUGCUGCAUGGCUGUCGUCAGCUCGUGUCGUGAGAUGUUGGGUUAAGUCCCGCAACGAGCGCAACCCUUUUCUUACUUGCCAGCAUUUCGGAUGGGAACUUUAAGGAUACUGCCAGUGACAAACUGGAGGAAGGCGGGGGACGACG